This is a long non-coding RNA of Olea europaea var. sylvestris, 3885 nucleotides long. RefSeq lists it as uncharacterized. Lineage: Eukaryota; Viridiplantae; Streptophyta; Magnoliopsida; Lamiales; Oleaceae. The transcript has 2 exons. The record is from RefSeq and is a predicted model, not a curated record.
GUAGUAAAAUCCAUUAUAUUGGUAUAACGAGUAGAGAUACCUAUGUCAUUUAUUGUGGUCAUAAUUGAAUUCCUAGGAUAAAGAAAUCGUUUAACUAAGCUAAAUUUGCAUAGAGAUAUGGAAUUUAAUUGGUUGAAUGACUCAAUGAGAACUCGAGAGGGGUAAAUUGAAUACAAUAAGAGAAUUCGACCAAAUACUACAUUAGAAUUGAGUCUUAAUUUGAGAUGUAAAGGUGAUCAAUGAGUGAAAUUAUUCUGCCCUAACGUCUUUUAGUUAUUUGAUUUUACAAAAAAAAAAAAAAAUUGAGUGAGCAUUCAUUUAUUUUCUAGAAUUUAGAUUAAAAUCCAAAUCAUUCAACUCAUACAACUAAUAAUCUGUUUUCAUCAAAUAGUAGUUAAAAAAAAUUUGAAUUAAGUGCUAAAAAAUAGUUCUUGUGGGAACGAUAAUUCGGACUCAAAAGGUCCACUUUACUACUUAUUACGAUUCGUCCACUUGCGGGAUAAAAUCGACAACAGUGUUGAUAAGCUGUUAUUUUUUUAAGAUCUGCAAUGGGAUGGGAGUCUUGAUAUCGUUAUUAUACGUUGCCACUUUGGGCGAGUCAGCAAGCAGAUUAGCACAAUUUUGGCCUGUAAAUUUGAGCACUGUGUCGUGUACUUGGUGGUGGAAAUAGAGGGUGGGUGGGGUUUGACCUUAAAUUUCCGACCUUGAAUUUCCUGUAUGUGAUUUUUGUCAAUAUUACGAUGGAAUGAAACUUGAGUUUAUGAGAACUUAUUUGUUCUAGUGAUACCAUCUUGCAAAUGCCUGCCCCAUAUGUGAAAUAUAUUAACCUUGGUGUAUUUUUUCCUGCUGCUUAUAUCUUAUUCCAUCCAUCCUUGUUGGGUAGCUCUUAUGUAACACUUGUAGAGCUUGAUUAGGAUUGUUAAUAUCUUCGGGUGCUUGUUUGCAUUCUUUUCUUUCAUGACAGAUUUUUCUCAAUUGUGCAGGCUGUUCCAUUCCAGCCUGUGAAGAUUAUUGGUUUCCAUUUAGUUGGUAUUACUUUAUGAGGUCAAUUAAGCUUAUUUUGUCAGUUGAAUUGUUUUUCUUCCAAGGGAUGACCCGUCGAGUUUUUUAUGUAAGAGUGCAAGAGGGCUUUAGUUGCUUUAAAAUAGAGCAAUAUAUUUUCAUUGAUGUGUUGAGACUUGAGAAGCUUUUAAAUUCUACAAUGGGAUGGAAGGGGGUAUUUGUCUAUUUACUAAAUCUUGCGAGUUUGGGUGAAUCAACUAGCAGAUCAGCACAAUUUCGGCCCAUCAGUUUAAGCACUGCGUCCUCAUCACUCUACAGCUAGGCAGUCUGCAUUGCAGCCAUAUUUGUUGUGGUGGCUUUUGUUCUUUCCAUGUACCUUAACUUUGUGCAUUUAGCUGCUUACAAUCAGCCUGAGAAACUCUUAGUUGAGCUCAUUCUAAUGGUUCCUGUUUAUGCACUGGGAUCGGUAAUGUUAACUGAAUUUUGUCUUUAUUCGCCAUUUGUUUUUGACAUUAGAGCAUUAUCACAAUUCAUGUUAUGAGCCACUUAGGUAAGAUCAUUCUGAUGCACUUGCAUAAAUAGAGAAAUAAUUUGGGAAUUUCAUUUUUUUUAAUCAUUUUUCCUGAUUUAGUGAUCAUACUUGGUAGUGGAAGUUUUAUCAAUUUUUUGUUUAUAUGACAAACUUCUAUGGAAAGAACAAAAACCAUCAUUUUUCUCGAUCAAUUGAGGAACUACUUUUGUUUAAUUGUUGCGGUAAUUUUUUACCCGUUUGAGCAGAAAAAACUUGGCCGAAGACUGGAUAGCAGCAAGUUAUACGUGGCCUUCAUCACCAGAGGCCUUAUUUAAAAAAUGUGGGGUACUUAAAUUACUAGAACUUGUUCCAUAAUAAUUGUCGUCAUCUGGUUUCCUGUUAACAAACUAUAAUAGAUAAUACUAUUUUCUUAUGGAGAAAUUUCAAACUACUACAGAGAUGAGUUAACAACGUUUGGGAGUAAUUUAUUGUGUGCUUAAGAGGUUCUGGUUUUUCUAUUUGAUCUCUCUCUUUUCUCCCUCCCCCUGCUCCCACCAAGGACCUUUUUGAUUUCUUAUUUCUGUUAUUUUGUUUCGUGAACUGUUCUUAUCUUUGUUACAUUCAAAUGCAGCUUUCAACUAUGAAAUUAUAUAGGAUUGUUAUGAAGCUUUUGCCCUGUAUUGCUUUGAGAGAUCUCAUAGCCUGCUUAGGUAUGUCUACAUUUUCUGGGUUCUCUUUUAUAUUGCCAUUGUGUUUAGCCCUCUGUAUUAUUCAUGUAUUGAAUAAUGAUGAUUAUUCAAGAAACAGAGUAGUGUUUUUAUUUAAUUUCAUUCCUAACUAUGGAUUUCUUUUAGCCUUCUUUAACUACGAUAAACUUUAGUGUGUUGAACCAUUGAUGCUUUGAGAAAAAUAGUAUUUUUUUUAUAAGAUUUAUUGAUAUCAAGGUAAAAAUAUAAUUAGAAUCACUAAUAUAUUUUUUUUCAUCUUUAUCUUAUUUUCUUUGCUAGCUUUAGAUACUUUGCAAUAAUGAACAUCUCUCUUCUGUUUGAAUCUUAGUCUGCAGAUGAUGCCUGCAGAAUCUAUCAUGAUUAAAUUAAGUGUUUUAUGACCUUAUCAUAUCUUUCCCACCCUCGAAGGACAGGAUUUUCAUGUAGUAAUGACAAUGGACUAACUUGUGAGUCGAUGAAAGCCCAAUUAAUGCAGUGGUGGUAGGUUUAGGAAUGACUUAGGUUGUCAUAUAUCGGACUGAAGCAACAGAGUGGUCUUGCUGAGUGUUAGGUAGUUAUAGAAUUUCAGGAUAAGUUGAAAUCAAAUGUAAGUUUCUGAGAAGAAAGAUGUUAAAAGGUGAUUAAUGUAUCGCGCUUGGAGGUGGAAAGGAAAUUACAGGUCACUUUAUGGAAAGUCAAAGCUUGUUCACUUCUAGUAGUGUACCUCUUCUGGAUGAAGCAUAUGCUUAUGGAGUUGUUGAACAUCCUUUUCCGUUAAUUUACUUUCUCAGGUAUUGGCAGCUUGGCUCUGACUUUUAUCAGUUCGUAAAAAUUGGCAUUGUUCAAUAUGUACGAACACCAUCUUUGAGACUUUUUUAUUUUAUUAUUGUUAUAUAUUGGCAUUAAGUGAAAGUUCUCAUUUUCGCAGAUAAUAUUAAAGAUGAUAUGUGCUUUACUUGCGAUGAUUUUUGAAUCUCUUGGAGUUUAUGAGGAAGAAAAGUUUGAGUGGGGACCCUUUUCCAUCUAGUCAUAUUCUAAAGCUUUACAGUUCCUACUGUGUAACUGUGAACUCUUGAAUUAUAUUUUACGGUUACUGUUCAAUGCAAUUUAGGGAUGUUAUUUAGUUACAUCUAGCGAAGAGAAUAAACAUUUUUCCAUUUUCAUCUGAAAGUUUUUCGAUGUUUUGCAGUUAUCCAUAUUUGGCAGUUUUUGAGUUUUAGCGGACCUCGGCCUUAUACUACCUUGUCCAGUCUUAUUCUGUCACCAAGAUUAAAUUGGCACGAUUUAAACCUUGGGCCAAGUUUUUGACAUUCAAGUCGAUUGUUUUCCAGACAUGGUGGCAAGGUGCUGCUGUUGCCUUUCUUCUCAUUUGGAGCCCUUAAGGGGAUCAUUGGUGCAGGUUCUGAAAAUCCGACAUGGUGGUAAGGUGUUGCUGUUGCCUUUCUUCUCAUUUGGAGCCCUUUAGGGAUCAUUGGUGCAGGGUCUGAAAAUACGUAUACAAGACUAUAGCAUCUGUAUCGAGGUGCGUUGGUUUGUGUUGAUCUUUCAAUCUUUUCCACUAGGUAAUUUAGUAUUCUUAUGCAUGAAGAUGAUUAAUUCGGUCUUUGUUGCCAGACUUUAUUAUGGAUUAGUACAUUGUUAUACCAGUUUUAGUUUGUCUGUUUA